RNAcentral lists this ribosomal RNA (271 nucleotides) under uncultured archaeon. RNAcentral's name for it is "partial 16S ribosomal RNA". It matches the Rfam family "Archaeal small subunit ribosomal RNA", at positions 477 to 747 of the family's 1478-position model. The record is from RNAcentral.
CAGCGCCACGAGUGGGGAUCGCGAUUAUUGGGCCUAAAGCGUCCGUAGCCUGCUUUGUAAGUCCUUUGUGAAAUCGUUGGGCUAAACUCAACGACGUGCAGAGGAUACUGCAAAGCUCGAGACCGGGAGGGGCUGGAGGUAUUCUGUGGGGAGCGGUAAAAUGCUAUAAUCCACGGAGGACCACCGAUGGCGAAGGCAUCCAGCCAGAACGGAUCUGACGGUGAGGGACGAAAGCCAGGGGAGCGAACCGGAUUAGAUACCCGAGUAGUCC